AAUCAACGCUGGCGGCGUGCCUAACACAUGCAAGUCGAACGAGAAAGUGGAGCAAUCCAUGAGUAAAGUGGCGACCGGGUGAGUAACACGUGACUAACCUACCUUCGAGUGGGGGAUAACCUCGGGAAACCGGGGCUAAUACCGCAUAACAUCUUUGGAGUGGAAAUUUCGGAGAUCAAAGGAGCAAUUCGCUGGAAGAGGGGGUCGCGGCUGAUUAGCUAGUUGGCGGGGUAACGGCCCACCAAGGCUAGAUCGGUAGCCGGCCUGAGAGGGCGCACGGCCACACUGGAACUGAAACACGGUCCAGACUCCUACGGGAGGCAGCAGUGGGGAAUUUUGCGCAAUGGGGGAAACCCUGACGCAGCAACGCCGCGUGGAGGAUGAAGUCCCUUGGGACGUAAACUCCUUUCGACCCGGACGAUAAUGACGGUACGGGUGGAAGAAGCCCCGGCUAACUACGUGCCAGCCGCCGCCGU
RNAcentral lists this ribosomal RNA (476 nucleotides) under uncultured bacterium. RNAcentral describes it as "bacterial SSU rRNA". It matches the Rfam family "Bacterial small subunit ribosomal RNA", at positions 32 to 521 of the family's 1533-position model. The record is from RNAcentral.